AUUGAACGCUGGCGGCAUGCUUUACACAUGCAAGUCGGACGGCAGCACAGCGUCGCUUGCUUCUUGGGUGGCGAGUGGCGAAUGGGAGAGCAAUAUAUCGGCACGCACCGAGUAAUGGGGGACAACUAAUCGACAGAUUAGCUAAUACAGCAUAUUCUCUGAGGAGGAAAGCCGGGGACCUUCGGGCCUUGCGUUGUUCGAGCGGCCGAUAUCUGAUUAGCUAGUUGGUGGGGUAAAGGCUUACCAAGGCGACGAUCAGUAGCUGGUCUGAGAGGAUGAACCGCCACACUGGGACUGAGACACGGCCCAGACUCCUACGGGAGGCAGCAGUGGGGAAUUUUGGACAAAGGGCGCAAGCCUGAUCCAGCCAUGCCGCGUGUCUGAAGAAGGCCUUCGGGUUGUAAAGGACUUUUGUCAGGGAAGAAAAGACUGUUGCUAAUACCGACAGCUGAUGACGGUACCGGAAGAAUAAGCACCGGCUAACUACGUG
This 490-nucleotide ribosomal RNA is filed under the name uncultured bacterium. Its description in RNAcentral is "partial 16S ribosomal RNA". It matches the Rfam family "Bacterial small subunit ribosomal RNA", at positions 30 to 507 of the family's 1533-position model. The record is from RNAcentral.